AGUUGCGCCCGAGGCCUUCCGGCCGAGGGCACGCCUGCCUGGGCGUCACGCACCGCGCUGCCCGCACCCAACCCCGGGUGAGGGCGGAGAUUGGCCAACCGUGCUCCUCGGGGCGCGGCGGGCUGAAAGCUGUAUCUCGAUUGCCCCCGGCGGGGCGUCGGCACGGCGUUGGGUGGUCACCAGGGCUCCACGAGCCGAUGCGAUCGGACGCUGCGCACGUCGCCUCCCGGGGCGCCAAGGCACCCCAGAUUGCGACGCGACCCCAGGUCAGGCGGGGGCACCCGCCGAGUUUAAGCAUAUAAAUAAGCGGAGGAAAAGAAACUUACGAGGAUUCCCCUAGUAACGGCGAGCGAACCGGGAAGUGCCC
Molecule: ribosomal RNA, 367 nt
Filed under: Mitrephora thorelii
Lineage: Eukaryota; Viridiplantae; Streptophyta; Magnoliopsida; Magnoliales; Annonaceae
Description: eukaryotic LSU rRNA
Rfam family: Eukaryotic large subunit ribosomal RNA (bases 258-367)
Source: RNAcentral